This 497-nucleotide ribosomal RNA is filed under the name uncultured bacterium. RNAcentral describes it as "partial 16S ribosomal RNA". It matches the Rfam family "Bacterial small subunit ribosomal RNA", at positions 28 to 507 of the family's 1533-position model. The record is from RNAcentral.
GAUGAACGCUGGCGGCGUGCCUAAUACAUGCAAGUCGAGCGAACAGAUGAGGAGCUUGCUCCUCUGACGUUAGCGGCGGACGGGUGAGUAACACGUGGAUAACCUACCUAUAAGACUGGGAUAACUUCGGGAAACCGGAGCUAAUACCGGAUAAUAUAUUGAACCGCAUGGUUCAAUAGUGAAAGACGGUUUUGCUGUCACUUAUAGAUGGAUCCGCGCCGCAUUAGCUAGUUGGUAAGGUAACGGCUUACCAAGGCAACGAUGCGUAGCCGACCUGAGAGGGUGAUCGGCCACACUGGAACUGAGACACGGUCCAGACUCCUACGGGAGGCAGCAGUAGGGAAUCUUCCGCAAUGGGCGAAAGCCUGACGGAGCAACGCCGCGUGAGUGAUGAAGGUCUUCGGAUCGUAAAACUCUGUUAUUAGGGAAGAACAAAUGUGUAAGUAACUAUGUACGUCUUGACGGUACCUAACCAGAAAGCCACGGCUAACUACGUG